RNAcentral lists this ribosomal RNA (482 nucleotides) under Colubroidea sp. GKo-2020a. Its description in RNAcentral is "partial large subunit ribosomal RNA". It matches the Rfam family "Bacterial large subunit ribosomal RNA", at positions 1811 to 2569 of the family's 2925-position model. The record is from RNAcentral. Lineage: Eukaryota; Metazoa; Chordata; Lepidosauria; Squamata.
AAACAUAACCUUUAGCCACAAACAAGUAUUAAAGGCAACGCCUGCCCAGUGAACAAUUAAACGGCCGCGGUACCCUAACCGUGCAAAGGUAGCGAAAUCAUUUGUCUAUUAAUUGUAGACCUGUAUGAAAGGCAUAAUGAGGGCCUAACUGUCUCUUAUAAUAAAUCAAUUAAACUGAUCUUUUAGUACAAAAGCUAAAAUACCAACAUAAGACCAGAAGACCCUGUGAAGCUUUAACUAACCUAUUAAACCCAAUAAUAGCUACUUUCGGUUGGGGCGACCUUGGAAAAAAAAGAAACUUCCAAACACGACUAAAACUCGCAAACAGGCCCACAAGCCAAUCAACGACCCGGCACAGCCGAUCAUCGAACCAAGUUACUCCAGGGAUAACAGCGCUAUCUUCUUCAAGAGCCCAUAUCAAAAAGAAGGUUUACGACCUCGAUGUUGGAUCAGGACAUCCUAAUGGUGCAGCAGCUAUUAAG